Molecule: ribosomal RNA, 2775 nt
Filed under: Escherichia coli
Lineage: Bacteria; Pseudomonadati; Pseudomonadota; Gammaproteobacteria; Enterobacterales; Enterobacteriaceae
Description: bacterial LSU rRNA
Rfam family: Bacterial large subunit ribosomal RNA
Source: RNAcentral
AGCGUACACGGUGGAUGCCCUGGCAGUCAGAGGCGAUGAAGGACGUGCUAAUCUGCGAUAAGCGUCGGUAAGGUGAUAUGAACCGUUAUAACCGGCGAUUUCCGAAUGGGGAAACCCAGUGUGUUUCGACACACUAUCAUUAACUGAAUCCAUAGGUUAAUGAGGCGAACCGGGGGAACUGAAACAUCUAAGUACCCCGAGGAAAAGAAAUCAACCGAGAUUCCCCCAGUAGCGGCGAGCGAACGGGGAGCAGCCCAGAGCCUGAAUCAGUGUGUGUGUUAGUGGAAGCGUCUGGAAAGGCGCGCGAUACAGGGUGACAGCCCCGUACACAAAAAUGCACAUGCUGUGAGCUCGAUGAGUAGGGCGGGACACGUGGUAUCCUGUCUGAAUAUGGGGGGACCAUCCUCCAAGGCUAAAUACUCCUGACUGACCGAUAGUGAACCAGUACCGUGAGGGAAAGGCGAAAAGAACCCCGGCGAGGGGAGUGAAAAAGAACCUGAAACCGUGUACGUACAAGCAGUGGGAGCACGCUUAGGCGUGUGACUGCGUACCUUUUGUAUAAUGGGUCAGCGACUUAUAUUCUGUAGCAAGGUUAACCGAAUAGGGGAGCCGAAGGGAAACCGAGUCUUAACUGGGCGUUAAGUUGCAGGGUAUAGACCCGAAACCCGGUGAUCUAGCCAUGGGCAGGUUGAAGGUUGGGUAACACUAACUGGAGGACCGAACCGACUAAUGUUGAAAAAUUAGCGGAUGACUUGUGGCUGGGGGUGAAAGGCCAAUCAAACCGGGAGAUAGCUGGUUCUCCCCGAAAGCUAUUUAGGUAGCGCCUCGUGAAUUCAUCUCCGGGGGUAGAGCACUGUUUCGGCAAGGGGGUCAUCCCGACUUACCAACCCGAUGCAAACUGCGAAUACCGGAGAAUGUUAUCACGGGAGACACACGGCGGGUGCUAACGUCCGUCGUGAAGAGGGAAACAACCCAGACCGCCAGCUAAGGUCCCAAAGUCAUGGUUAAGUGGGAAACGAUGUGGGAAGGCCCAGACAGCCAGGAUGUUGGCUUAGAAGCAGCCAUCAUUUAAAGAAAGCGUAAUAGCUCACUGGUCGAGUCGGCCUGCGCGGAAGAUGUAACGGGGCUAAACCAUGCACCGAAGCUGCGGCAGCGACGCUGAUGCGUUGUUGGGUAGGGGAGCGUUCUGUAAGCCUGCGAAGGUGUGCUGUGAGGCAUGCUGGAGGUAUCAGAAGUGCGAAUGCUGACAUAAGUAACGAUAAAGCGGGUGAAAAGCCCGCUCGCCGGAAGACCAAGGGUUCCUGUCCAACGUUAAUCGGGGCAGGGUGAGUCGACCCCUAAGGCGAGGCCGAAAGGCGUAGUCGAUGGGAAACAGGUUAAUAUUCCUGUACUUGGUGUUACUGCGAAGGGGGGACGGAGAAGGCUAUGUUGGCCGGGCGACGGUUGUCCCGGUUUAAGCGUGUAGGCUGGUUUUCCAGGCAAAUCCGGAAAAUCAAGGCUGAGGCGUGAUGACGAGGCACUACGGUGCUGAAGCAACAAAUGCCCUGCUUCCAGGAAAAGCCUCUAAGCAUCAGGUAACAUCAAAUCGUACCCCAAACCGACACAGGUGGUCAGGUAGAGAAUACCAAGGCGCUUGAGAGAACUCGGGUGAAGGAACUAGGCAAAAUGGUGCCGUAACUUCGGGAGAAGGCACGCUGAUAUGUAGGUGAAGUCCCUCGCGGAUGGAGCUGAAAUCAGUCGAAGAUACCAGCUGGCUGCAACUGUUUAUUAAAAACACAGCACUGUGCAAACACGAAAGUGGACGUAUACGGUGUGACGCCUGCCCGGUGCCGGAAGGUUAAUUGAUGGGGUUAGCCGCAAGGCGAAGCUCUUGAUCGAAGCCCCGGUAAACGGCGGCCGUAACUAUAACGGUCCUAAGGUAGCGAAAUUCCUUGUCGGGUAAGUUCCGACCUGCACGAAUGGCGUAAUGAUGGCCAGGCUGUCUCCACCCGAGACUCAGUGAAAUUGAACUCGCUGUGAAGAUGCAGUGUACCCGCGGCAAGACGGAAAGACCCCGUGAACCUUUACUAUAGCUUGACACUGAACAUUGAGCCUUGAUGUGUAGGAUAGGUGGGAGGCUUGGAAGUGUGGACGCCAGUCUGCAUGGAGCCGACCUUGAAAUACCACCCUUUAAUGUUUGAUGUUCUAACGUUGACCCGUAAUCCGGGUUGCGGACAGUGUCUGGUGGGUAGUUUGACUGGGGCGGUCUCCUCCUAAAGAGUAACGGAGGAGCACGAAGGUUGGCUAAUCCUGGUCGGACAUCAGGAGGUUAGUGCAAUGGCAUAAGCCAGCUUGACUGCGAGCGUGACGGCGCGAGCAGGUGCGAAAGCAGGUCAUAGUGAUCCGGUGGUUCUGAAUGGAAGGGCCAUCGCUCAACGGAUAAAAGGUACUCCGGGGAUAACAGGCUGAUACCGCCCAAGAGUUCAUAUCGACGGCGGUGUUUGGCACCUCGAUGUCGGCUCAUCACAUCCUGGGGCUGAAGUAGGUCCCAAGGGUAUGGCUGUUCGCCAUUUAAAGUGGUACGCGAGCUGGGUUUAGAACGUCGUGAGACAGUUCGGUCCCUAUCUGCCGUGGGCGCUGGAGAACUGAGGGGGGCUGCUCCUAGUACGAGAGGACCGGAGUGGACGCAUCACUGGUGUUCGGGUUGUCAUGCCAAUGGCACUGCCCGGUAGCUAAAUGCGGAAGAGAUAAGUGCUGAAAGCAUCUAAGCACGAAACUUGCCCCGAGAUGAGUUCU